UUCGAUGAUGAUCUACAACCUAUUGUUUUACUUAUUUCUGGUACCUCUUAUGUUAGAAUCCUUCGGGAUUCAAUGAAUGAACUGGACUUCUGACC
Molecule: small nucleolar RNA, 95 nt
Filed under: Phaeoacremonium minimum UCRPA7
Lineage: Eukaryota; Fungi; Ascomycota; Sordariomycetes; Togniniales; Togniniaceae
Description: A. fumigatus snoRNA Afu_264
Rfam family: A. fumigatus snoRNA Afu_264
Source: Rfam by way of RNAcentral